Dunckerocampus dactyliophorus (ringed pipefish) is the source of this 660-nucleotide long non-coding RNA. RefSeq lists it as uncharacterized. The transcript has 4 exons. The record is from RefSeq and is a predicted model, not a curated record. Lineage: Eukaryota; Metazoa; Chordata; Actinopteri; Syngnathiformes; Syngnathidae.
CAGUCAUGUGCAUGGUCUCCUUCAUGGACACCCGCUUGAACAUCCUGCCUGGAACAAACGAUCUCCAGACUCCUCCCAGCUGAGCGGCCAGGAGAUCUGCCAGAUGAAGGAGAAGAUCGGGAAGCUUUGUGCAACAAGAAAAUGGGCCCGCAGAACAUCACGGUAAGGAGUGUGUGGACAACCUGAACCAGGAAGACGACAUGGACAAGCUUGUGUCAUCCUUGUGGGAGCUGGAUAGUGUGGCAGUGCGCAACCCGGAGACACACAGCUACAAGGUCGCCUACAAAGAUUCAUUGUCUCAUUGCACAGAGUACCAUACUUGCCGUGGAAAACGGUGUACGCAACGUUUUGGCCCCAUUUUGUGCCUACGCAAGCUUCAUGAAUAAGGCCCCUGACCAGCUUUGACAAGAGAAGGUCUUGGUUCCUGUAGCUUUCAGGGAUCCUCAGCUUGAGGCUGCGGCCUCUUUAAAGUAAGCAAGCGUAAUGAGCGUUAAAGACACACUCAGUAACACGUGUUUCUCACACACCAAACACAGCAAGUCUCUGAAGGCUUGGAAGACACUCAAAAUGCUUCUUUUUUUUACUUUGAAAAUGAUUAGGAGUGCUUGAGAAAGUUGGAAAAGAAAACGUUUUGACAACAUGAGGACUUCUGAACAAGCU